RNAcentral lists this ribosomal RNA (253 nucleotides) under uncultured bacterium. Its description in RNAcentral is "partial 16S ribosomal RNA". It matches the Rfam family "Bacterial small subunit ribosomal RNA", at positions 524 to 776 of the family's 1533-position model. The record is from RNAcentral.
UACGUAGGUGGCAAGCGUUGUCCGGAAUUAUUGGGCGUAAAGAGCGCGCAGGCGGUCGGAUUAGUCGCGUGUGAAAGCCCCCGGCUCAACUGGGGAGGGUCACGCGAUACUGUUCGACUCGAAGGCAGGAGAGGGAAGUGGAAUUCCCGGUGUAGUGGUGAAAUGCGUAGAUAUCGGGAGGAACACCAGUGGCGAAGGCGGCAUCCUGGACCGGUAUUGACGCUGAGGCACGAAAGCCAGGGGAGCAAACGGG